GAAAUGCGAUAAGUAAUGUGAAUUGCAGAAUUCAGUGAAUCAUCGAAUCUUUGAACGCACAUUGCGCCCGCCAGUAUUCUGGCGGGCAUGCCUGUCCGAGCGUCAUUUCAACCAUCAAGCCCCCGGGCUUGUGUUGGGGACCUGCGGCUGCCCGCAGGCCCUGAAAACCAGUGGCGGGCUCGCUGUCACACCGAGCGUAGUAGCAAUCACCUCGCUCAGGGCGUGCUGCGGGUUCCGGCCGUUAAACAGCCUUACAAAACCCAGGUUGACCUCGGAUCAGGUAGGAAGACCCGCUGAACUUAAGC
This 305-nucleotide unclassified non-coding RNA is filed under the name plant metagenome. Its description in RNAcentral is "partial contains 5.8S ribosomal RNA, internal transcribed spacer 2, and large subunit ribosomal RNA". The stretch from base 1 to 105 matches the Rfam family "5.8S ribosomal RNA", at positions 50 to 154 of the family's 154-position model. The record is from RNAcentral.